UAGGGAAUCUUCCGCAAUGGACGAAAGUCUGACGGAGCAACGCCGCGUGAGUGAUGAAGGUUUUCGGAUCGUAAAGCUCUGUUGCCAGGGAAGAACGUCCGGUAGAGUAACUGCUACCGGAGUGACGGUACCUGAGAAGAAAGCCCCGGCUAACUACGUGCCAGCAGCCGCGGUAAUACGUAGGGGGCAAGCGUUGUCCGGAAUUAUUGGGCGUAAAGCGCGCGCAGGCGGUCACUUAAGUCUGGUGUUUAAGGCCAAGGCUCAACCUUGGUUCGCACUGGAAACUGGGUGACUUGAGUGCAGAAGAGGAGAGUGGAAUUCCACGUGUAGCGGUGAAAUGCGUAGAUAUGUGGAGGAACACCAGUGGCGAAGGCGACUCUCUGGGCUGUAACUGACGCUGAGGCGCGAAAGCGUGGGAGCAAACAGGAUUAGAUACCCUGGUAGUCCACGCCGUAAACGAUGAAUGCUAGGUGUUAGGGUUUCGAUACCCUUGGUGCCGAAGUUAACACAUUAAGCAUUCCGCCUGGGAGUACGGUCGC
Molecule: ribosomal RNA, 539 nt
Filed under: uncultured bacterium
Lineage: Bacteria
Description: bacterial SSU rRNA
Rfam family: Bacterial small subunit ribosomal RNA
Source: RNAcentral